AUUGAACGCUGGCGGCAGGCCUAACACAUGCAAGUCGAACGGUAACAGGAAGCAGCUUGCUGCUUUGCUGACGAGUGGCGGACGGGUGAGUAAUGUCUGGGAAACUGCCUGAUGGAGGGGGAUAACUACUGGAAACGGUAGCUAAUACCGCAUAACGUCGCAAGACCAAAGAGGGGGACCUUCGGGCCUCUUGCCAUCGGAUGUGCCCAGAUGGGAUUAGCUAGUAGGUGGGGUAACGGCUCACCUAGGCGACGAUCCCUAGCUGGUCUGAGAGGAUGACCAGCCACACUGGAACUGAGACACGGUCCAGACUCCUACGGGAGGCAGCAGUGGGGAAUAUUGCACAAUGGGCGCAAGCCUGAUGCAGCCAUGCCGCGUGCAUGAAGAAGGCCUUCGGGUUGUAAAGUACUUUCAGCGGGGAGGAAGGGAGUAAAGUUAAUACCUUUGCUCAUUGACGUUACCCGCAGAAGAAGCACCGGCUAACUCCGUG
Molecule: ribosomal RNA, 490 nt
Filed under: uncultured bacterium
Lineage: Bacteria
Description: partial 16S ribosomal RNA
Rfam family: Bacterial small subunit ribosomal RNA
Source: RNAcentral